Molecule: ribosomal RNA, 529 nt
Filed under: dothideomycete sp. 7407
Lineage: Eukaryota; Fungi; Ascomycota; Dothideomycetes
Description: eukaryotic LSU rRNA
Rfam family: 5.8S ribosomal RNA (bases 192-345)
Source: RNAcentral
CGUAGGUGAACCUGCGGAGGGAUCAUUACACAAAUUAAAAUAUGAAGGCUUCGGCUGGAUUAUUUUUAUCACCCUUGUCUUUUGCGCACUUGUUGUUUCCUGGGCGGGUUCGCCCGCCACCAGGACCACACCAUAAACCUUUUUUUAUGCAGUUGCAAUCAGCGUCAGUAUAACAAAUGUAAAUCAUUUACAACUUUCAACAACGGAUCUCUUGGUUCUGGCAUCGAUGAAGAACGCAGCGAAAUGCGAUACGUAGUGUGAAUUGCAGAAUUCAGUGAAUCAUCGAAUCUUUGAACGCACAUUGCGCCCUUUGGUAUUCCAAAGGGCAUGCCUGUUCGAGCGUCAUUUGUACCCUCAAGCUUUGCUUGGUGUUGGGCGUCUUUUGUCUUUGGCCUCGCCCAAAGACUCGCCUUAAAACGAUUGGCAGCCGGCCUACUGGUUUCGCAGCGCAGCACAUUUUUGCGCUUGCAAUCAGCAAAAAGGACGGCAAUCCAUCAAGACUACAUUUUUACGUUUGACCUCGGAUCAG